Molecule: ribosomal RNA, 962 nt
Filed under: Lactobacillus gasseri
Lineage: Bacteria; Bacillati; Bacillota; Bacilli; Lactobacillales; Lactobacillaceae
Description: bacterial SSU rRNA
Rfam family: Bacterial small subunit ribosomal RNA
Source: RNAcentral
AGAGUUUGAUCAUGGCUCAGGACGAACGCUGGCGGCGUGCCUAAUACAUGCAAGUCGAGCGAGCUUGCCUAGAUGAAUUUGGUGCUUGCACCAAAUGAAACUAGAUACAAGCGAGCGGCGGACGGGUGAGUAACACGUGGGUAACCUGCCCAAGAGACUGGGAUAACACCUGGAAACAGAUGCUAAUACCGGAUAACAACACUAGACGCAUGUCUAGAGUUUAAAAGAUGGUUCUGCUAUCACUCUUGGAUGGACCUGCGGUGCAUUAGCUAGUUGGUAAGGUAACGGCUUACCAAGGCAAUGAUGCAUAGCCGAGUUGAGAGACUGAUCGGCCACAUUGGGACUGAGACACGGCCCAAACUCCUACGGGAGGCAGCAGUAGGGAAUCUUCCACAAUGGACGCAAGUCUGAUGGAGCAACGCCGCGUGAGUGAAGAAGGGUUUCGGCUCGUAAAGCUCUGUUGGUAGUGAAGAAAGAUAGAGGUAGUAACUGGCCUUUAUUUGACGGUAAUUACUUAGAAAGUCACGGUUAACUACGUGCCAGCAGCCGCGGUAAUACGUAGGUGGCAAGCGUUGUCCGGAUUUAUUGGGCGUAAAGCGAGUGCAGGCGGUUCAAUAAGUCUGAUGUGAAAGCCUUCGGCUCAACCGGAGAAUUGCAUCAGAAACUGUUGAACUUGAGUGCAGAAGAGGAGAGUGGAACUCCAUGUGUAGCGGUGGAAUGCGUAGAUAUAUGGAAGAACACCAGUGGCGAAGGCGGCUCUCUGGUCUGCAACUGACGCUGCGGCUCGAAAGCAUGGGUAGCGAACAGGAUUAGAUACCCUGGUAGUCCAUGCCGUAAACGAUGAGUGCUAAGUGUUGGGAGGUUUCCGCCUCUCAGUGCUGCAGCUAACGCAUUAAGCACUCCGCCUGGGGAGUACGACCGCAAGGUUGAAACUCAAAGGAAUUGACGGGGGCCCGCACAAG